Molecule: ribosomal RNA, 408 nt
Filed under: uncultured bacterium
Lineage: Bacteria
Description: partial 16S ribosomal RNA
Rfam family: Bacterial small subunit ribosomal RNA
Source: RNAcentral
GACGAACGCUGGCGGCGUGCUUAACACAUGCAAGUCGAACGAAGUGGCGAACGGGUGAGUAACGCGUAAUCAACCUGCCCAUCAGAGGGGGACAACAGUUGGAAACGACUGCUAAUACCGCAUACUGAAUGAGGGGAUUUCGUCUGAUUAGCUAGUUGGAGGGGGAACGGCCCCCCAAGGCGAUGAUCAGUAGCCGGUAUGAAGGGAUGAACGGCCACAUUGGGACUGAGAAACGGCCCAGACUCCGACGGGAGGCAGCAGUGGGGAAACUUCCGAAAUGGACGAAAGUCUGACGGAGCAACGCGGGGUGAGUGAUGCCGGCCUUCGGGUUGUAAAGCUCUGUUAAUCGGGACGCGGUACCGGAAUAGAAAGCCACGGCUAACUACGUGCCAGCAGCCGCGGUGAUUC